GAUGAACGCUGGCGGCGUGCCUAAUACAUGCAAGUCGAGCGAACAGACGAGGAGCUUGCUCCUCUGACGUUAGCGGCGGACGGGUGAGUAACACGUGGAUAACCUACCUAUAAGACUGGGAUAACUUCGGGAAACCGGAGCUAAUACCGGAUAAUAUAUUGAACCGCAUGGUUCAAUAGUGAAAGACGGUUUUGCUGUCACUUAUAGAUGGAUCCGCGCUGCAUUAGCUAGUUGGUAAGGUAACGGCUUACCAAGGCGACGAUGCAUAGCCGACCUGAGAGGGUGAUCGGCCACACUGGAACUGAGACACGGUCCAGACUCCUACGGGAGGCAGCAGUAGGGAAUCUUCCGCAAUGGGCGAAAGCCUGACGGAGCAACGCCGCGUGAGUGAUGAAGGUCUUCGGAUCGUAAAACUCUGUUAUUAGGGAAGAACAAAUGUGUAAGUAACUAUGCACGUCUUGACGGUACCUAAUCAGAAAGCCACGGCUAACUACGUG
Molecule: ribosomal RNA, 497 nt
Filed under: uncultured bacterium
Lineage: Bacteria
Description: partial 16S ribosomal RNA
Rfam family: Bacterial small subunit ribosomal RNA
Source: RNAcentral